AUUUGGCGGACGGGUGAGUAACACGUGGGCAAUCUGCCCUUCACUCUGGGACAAGCCCUGGAAACGGGGUCUAAUACCGGAUACAACCACUGGCCGCAUGGCCUGGUGGUGGAAAGCUCCGGCGGUGAAGGAUGAGCCCGCGGCCUAUCAGCUUGUUGGUGAGGUAACGGCUCACCAAGGCGACGACGGGUAGCCGGCCUGAGAGGGCGACCGGCCACACUGGGACUGAGACACGGCCCAGACUCCUACGGGAGGCAGCAGUGGGGAAUAUUGCACAAUGGGCGCAAGCCUGAUGCAGCGACGCCGCGUGAGGGAUGACGGCCUUCGGGUUGUAACCUCUUUCAGCAGGGAAGAAGCGCAAGUGACGGUACCUGCAGAAGAAGCGCCGGCUAACUACGAGCCAGCAGCCGCGGUAAUA
RNAcentral lists this ribosomal RNA (418 nucleotides) under uncultured bacterium. RNAcentral's name for it is "bacterial SSU rRNA". It matches the Rfam family "Bacterial small subunit ribosomal RNA", at positions 93 to 525 of the family's 1533-position model. The record is from RNAcentral.